CAAGUCAGAGGUGACACUACACAGUGUGGAGUUUCCUCAGGAAAUUUUCGUCAUUUCCGUUUGCCAUUUUUACUUUCCUUUCCCUAACAAGGAACAAAGCAACGACAAUGGGAACUGCGGAAGCGCGUCGGCUUGAACAAAUGGACCCAAACGACCAGAUGAUACCUGCAACUGUGCUGCGAAAUCGAUCGAUGGUGGGAUGUGAAGUCGGAGGAACGAGGCGGCACGGUGAAUCAACUUGUAAAGUGUUGGCCUCACAGUUCUGAGGUCCCGGGUUCAAUCCCGGCCCCGCCUGUGUGGAGUUUGCAUGUUCUCCCCGUGCCCGCGUGAGUUUUCUCCGGGCACUCCGGUUUCCUCCCACAUCCCAAAACACAUGCAACAUUAAUUGGACACUCUAAAAUUGCCCGUAGGUGUGAUUGUGAGUGCGACUGUUUGUCUCUAUAGUGCCCUGCGAAUGGCUGGCGACCAGAUCAGGGUGUACCCCAUCUCCUGCCCGUUGACAGUUGGGAUAGGCUCCAGCACUCCCCGCCACCCUCGUGAGGAUAAGCGGGCACCAGUACAAAGCAGGUUUCCAGAGCAAAUGACUCUUCGCGUUUCUUUUCAUCAUUUUAGCAGAUUGUUAUUUUUGCAACUUAUCAAUUAACAAGUCUCCGCAAGAAGCCAACUGCAGAGUGCUAAUAUGCGCUAAUCCUCAGCAGAAGAUUACACUUUUCUAUAUGAGCACUGUAUGGUCACAGCAAACUCAACUCACUUCAAAACAAGCUGCAAUUUCGAAGAUAGUGAAAAAAAGAUGUAAAUAGCGUCAAAACGUCACCGUGCGGAUGGCAAUGGGAAUGCCCGACUCAUCCACUGGUCCGAUCCCUUCGUAAUGGGGGGCUUUGAUGAUGGACACUUUAGUUUCCUCCUCGGAGAAGCGGGCGAUGGGCAGGGUGGCAUUGCCCGACGCCACAGACUCUCUGGUGAAUCCCUCGCUGACUUCUAAAACGGAAAAUACAUUCGCACGAGAGCGGCUCCAACUACCUUCGACAAAUUUCUCGUGAGUCCGCUGCGAAGCGAGGCGGGAGGAGGCGGGUAAGAUGGCGGCGAAAGCGGUCUCUGUGCAUGCACCGUUCCCCCGUUCACAGCGUGAGACAGCACCUGACCCUGUGAGGGGUGCCACAAAGAAGAUAAAUCAACGAAAAUGCUCAGCAGCAGAAAGUCCUGGCGGGACUGCCACAGGAGCCUUCAGGUCUUGAGCUGGAUCCGACCCUGGUGGUUGUUGAAUUGGGAUCACCGUGGACUUGUUUGAAGGCUCUGGAUGUUUCAGGCUUUCCGGGAACAAUUUGACAGACAACGAGGACGUCCUUGUGGAGAGCUGAGGAGGGGUGGUCAGGUUGGGCCUGACGCUGCGGAAACCUUUGGCGGCCAGAGACGAGCUGAUUGUGUCACUGUUCUUAAGGUCAUUGGUUUCACUGCCAGACCGCCAAGAAUCUGCAUUGGGUUGGUUUCAUUAGCGUCAAUAGAUGA
Syngnathoides biaculeatus (alligator pipefish) is the source of this 1506-nucleotide long non-coding RNA. RefSeq lists it as uncharacterized. The record is from RefSeq and is a predicted model, not a curated record. NCBI's taxonomy places the organism in Eukaryota, Metazoa, Chordata, Actinopteri, Syngnathiformes, Syngnathidae. The transcript has 8 exons.